GGGGAAGAAGGUUCCCCUUCGGGGAUGAACUAAAGGGGAAGAAGGGGGUUCCCCUUUAGGGGAAGAACUUUAGUUCCCCUUUAGGGGAUGAUGCCGAAGGGUGUCAUCUUCUUUGGGUAACCCAAAGGGGAUAAACAAAGGGAACCCAAAGGUUCCCGGAGGGUAUCACUUCCCCCUUCGGGUUGUCUGUCCCCCUUGUUCAUCCCCUAAAGGGGAACUAAAGGGGAUGGGGGAACAAAAAGGUUGUCCCCCUUUAGUUCCCCUAAAGGGGAUGAACCAAAGGCUCUAAGAGUUUGGUGGUCCUCUUUGGGUGUCUUUGGUUCCCCUUUAGUUCAUCCCCGAAGGGGAACCUUCUUCCCCUUUAGGGGACUCCGUCCCCUAAAGGGGAAGAAGGGGAACACCCCUUCGUCUCCCCUUUGGGGAACACUAAAGGGGAAGAAGAAGAAGAAGAAGAAGAAGAAGAAGAAGAAGAAGAAGAAGAAGAAGAAGAAGAAGAAGAAGAAGAAGACCAGAGGGGACAGGGCAUAACUUGACGAGGGGGGGGGGACAGCCAACCAACCGGCCUUAAGCCGGAUACUAUAACGUAGUAACAGCCAACAUAUUAACAUAUAGCUUCAACUUGGCUGCAGAGCAGCUGCUUCUAAACUUCACUAAACCAGAGCGUCAGCGUCAGCCACGUGAGCUACUUAAGUUUGUCCAUCCCGAAGGGGGGGGCUUACUUUAACGUAAUUAUGCUACAGAACUUAUCUUGUGAGGGACUCUGGCCCGAACAAAGGUAAACAAUAUAUGGUGUUAAGCCUAGUUCUCUUUUAGGGGCGAAGCCCCCCGCGAAAUAGUAAUGUAGCUUAUGUUAUUAACCACAUUCAACUACACAGGACUCUAAACUACACAGGACUCUCGCUACUGUAGUCCGUUGUGAGUAUUGUCUUUUAGACGCAGGCCGUUGGCACUACUCUAGGUGCUAGAAAUACGCUGUAACUUGUGAGCGGGUUGUCUUCCCCUAAAGGGGAACAAACUUCGGUUCCUUGUCAUCCCCCUAGGGGAAACCAAAGGGUUACCUUGUCCCCUUGUCCCCCUCUGGUUUCCCGAACGGGAAGGGGGUCCCAAGGGUUGUCCCCCUUCUGAACCCUUUGGUUGUCUUCCCCGAAGGGGACAAGAAGGGGACCCCAAGGUUGUUACCCUCCCCCUUUGUCUCUUUUUCCCCUUAAAGGGGACCCCGUGGUCAUCGUCCCUAAAGGGGAAGAGCACUAAAGUGCUCUUCUUCUUCCCCUAAAGGGGACUAAGUUUCCCCUAAAGGGGAUGAACUAAAGGGGACCCCCUUUAGUUCCCCUUAGGGGGAUGAACUAAAGGGGAAGACGACAUCCCCGAAGGGGGAACAUCAUCGUCUUCCCCUUUGGGGAACCCCUUCGUUUUCACUAAAGGGUUGUCUUCUUUAGGGUUGUCUUCUNUAGUUCGUCUUCUUUAGGGGAACCAAAGGGGAAGAACCAAAGUCUUCCCCUAAAGGGGAACCCCUUCUUCCCCGUUAGUUCCCCCUAAAGGGGAAGAAGAACACUAAAGUUCCCCUUUAGGGGAUGAUGAACUAAAGGGGAUGGGGAACAAAGAAGACAGACAACCCUUUGGUAACCCAAAGGGGACAACCCAAAGGGGUUCCCCUUUAGGGGAAGACAACCCUUUGGUUCAUCCCCUAAAGUUCUUCCCCUUUAGGGGAAGAAGAACUAAAGGGGAGCCCAAAGAAGAUGACAACCCUUUGGUUCCCCUUUAGGGGACGAUGACGAAGUAUGAAAAGCUAGGUGAACUGCACCAGUACGUUGUGGCCUACGGCCGUUAGGUGAUCGUAGACGUUUUUUAUCCCCCUUCGGGGAAAGAGCUUCGCCCGUUGUUGUGAGGAACGUGUGCGCUCGGUUAAGUUAGGUGCACUGCACCGACAAGCGAAAGGUAGAUUUAGUUAUUUUAUUCUGGGCCUCCGUCCCUUCGUUAGAUUUGUUACACAGUAACAUAAAAAUUUCCAAACUAAGCACAACACAAGCGCGUCCCCCGAAGGGGAACCUUUGGUUAUCCCCCUUCGGAAACCCUUUGGUUUAUCCCCUAAAGUUCAUCCCCGAAGGGGAACCCCUUCGUCUUCUUCCCCGAAGGGGACCCCUACGUCAUCCCCGAAGGGUAACCCCUUUGGUUCUUCCCCAUAGUCUCCCCAAAGUCUCCCCGAAGAAGAGACUUUGGGGGAUCCCCUUUAGAGUCGACNNNNNNNNNNNNNNNNNNNNNNNNNNNNNNNNNNNNNNNNNNNNNNNNNNUCUUCCCCUAAAGGGGAACCCCUUCGUCAUCGUCCCCUAAAGGGGAAGAGCACUAAAGUGUUCUUCUUCUUCCCCUAAAGGGGAACUAAAGUUCCCCUAAAGGGGAUGAACUAAAGGGGAACCCCUUUAGUUCCCCUUUAGGGGAUGAACUAAAGGGGAAGACGACAUCCCCGAAGGGGGAACAUCAUCGUCUUCCCCUUUGGGGAACCCCUUCGUUUUCACUAAAGGGUUGUCUUCUUUAGGGUUGUCUUCUUUAGUUCGUCUUCUUUAGGGGAACCAAAGGGGAAGAACCAAAGUCUUCCCCUAAAGGGGAACCCCUUCUUCCCCGUUAGUUCCCCCUAAAGGGGAAGAAGAACACUAAAGUUCCCCUUUAGGGGAUGAUGAACUAAAGGGGAUGGGGAACAAAGAAGACAGACAACCCUUUGGUAACCCAAAGGGGACAACCCAAAGGGGUUCCCCUUUAGGGGAAGACAACCCUUUGGUUCAUCCCCUAAAGUUCUUCCCCUUUAGGGGAAGAAGAACUAAAGGGGAGCCCAAAGAAGAUGACAACCCUUUGGUUCCCCUUUAGGGGACGAUGACGAAGUAUGAAAAGCUAGGUGAACUGCACCAGUACGUUGUGGCCUACGGCCGUUAGGUGAUCGUAGACGUUUUUUAUCCCCCUUCGGGGAAAGAGCUUCGCCCGUUGUUGUGAGGAACNGUGUGCGCUCGGUUAAGUUAGGUGCACUGCACCGACAAGCGAAAGGUAGAUUUAGUUAUUUUAUUCUGGGCCU
This 3058-nucleotide long non-coding RNA is filed under the name Volvox carteri. Its description in RNAcentral is "long non-coding RNA (VCAR_LNC004299)". Lineage: Eukaryota; Viridiplantae; Chlorophyta; Chlorophyceae; Chlamydomonadales; Volvocaceae. The record is from RNAcentral.